GGGACCAUGGCGCAGUUUGGAGCGCGCUUUAAUCGCACUCAAGAGGUCGGGAGUUCGAAUCUCCUUGGUUCCACCA
RNAcentral lists this transfer RNA (76 nucleotides) under Bacilli bacterium. Its description in RNAcentral is "tRNA-Ala". It matches the Rfam family "tRNA". From Rfam's summary of the family: Transfer RNA (tRNA) molecules are approximately 80 nucleotides in length. Their secondary structure includes four short double-helical elements and three loops (D, anti-codon, and T loops). Further hydrogen bonds mediate the characteristic L-shaped molecular structure. tRNAs have two regions of fundamental functional importance: the anti-codon, which is responsible for specific mRNA codon recognition, and the 3' end, to which the tRNAs corresponding amino acid is attached (by aminoacyl-tRNA synthetases). tRNAs cope with the degeneracy of the genetic code in two manners: having more than one tRNA (with a specific anti-codon) for a particular amino acid; and 'wobble' base-pairing, i.e. permitting non-standard base-pairing at the 3rd anti-codon position. The record is from RNAcentral. Lineage: Bacteria; Bacillati; Bacillota; Bacilli.